AUUGAACGCUGGCGGCAUGCCUUACACAUGCAAGUCGAACGGCAGCACGGGAGCAAUCCUGGUGGCGAGUGGCGAACGGGUGAGUAAUAUAUCGGAACGUGCCCAGUCGUGGGGAUAACGUAGCGAAAGCUACGCUAAUACCGCAUACGAUCUAUGGAUGAAAGCGGGGGAUCGCAAGACCUCGCGCGAUUGGAGCGGCCGAUAUCAGAUUAGGUAGUUGGUGAGGUAAAGGCUCACCAAGCCGACGAUCUGUAGCUGGUCUGAGAGGACGACCAGCCACACUGGGACUGAGACACGGCCCAGACUCCUACGGGAGGCAGCAGUGGGGAAUUUUGGACAAUGGGCGCAAGCCUGAUCCAGCAAUGCCGCGUGCAGGAUGAAGGCCUUCGGGUUGGUUAAACGU
RNAcentral lists this ribosomal RNA (403 nucleotides) under uncultured bacterium. RNAcentral's name for it is "bacterial SSU rRNA". It matches the Rfam family "Bacterial small subunit ribosomal RNA", at positions 30 to 432 of the family's 1533-position model. The record is from RNAcentral.